GCCAGGUGCGCGGACACAGAAGCGUCUAAGCACAGCUUCCUCCUUGCCGCUCCGGGAAGUGGGCAGCCAGCCCAGAAUUGCGUGAGGACCCCACAGCGUGUCCCACUUUCCACGUGCCCAGGAGCCCCAGGUCAGGACCAGGGCAGCACCCGCGCCUGCCACUCAGUGUGGGUGCAACGUUUCCCGGGGGAACACGAUAGGACACGGUCACAUGGGGUUCAGGUGCCGGGACCUUGGCAGGCAGCCUCUGGCUUUGACCACUCCUUUGGCAGUGGUACCCGUGUGAAGUGGGGCUGUAUGGGGCACAGGGUCGGCCUGGGGUAGUUUGAGAGCUGAGACCCUUGCUGGGCGUUUGGGCAGAGGAGGAGGUGGACACCUCGGCCACAGGGCUAGAGAAGCCCAGGCCCCUCAGAUGGCAUCCCUGGGUCCACCUCCCGACCAGGCGCCAUCUGGCACCAGCUAAGAAGGUGCAGAGUCAGAUUAGGGAAGCCUUGGGCUGGAUUUCCAGAGAAACCGAUGUUGUUAAGAAGCCUCACACUCGGCUUCCUAGGAUGGCUGGCCUCACCCUGGGUUCACCCACAGCCCCUCGGCAACAGUCCCCUCAGGGCUCCAGAGAGAAACCCCCACCCUAGGAGUGCCUGGGGUGGGGGCCGCAGAGAGGAGGCAGAGCCCUGGGCCCCCAGUGCAGGCUGGAGCUGUGGCUGCUCCUGGGGAGGGUGGCACGGGAGAGGCAGGACCGAGGGGUGGGG
This 749-nucleotide long non-coding RNA is filed under the name Homo sapiens (human). Its description in RNAcentral is "HSALNT0157130". The record is from RNAcentral. Lineage: Eukaryota; Metazoa; Chordata; Mammalia; Primates; Hominidae.